Molecule: ribosomal RNA, 2379 nt
Filed under: Listeria monocytogenes
Lineage: Bacteria; Bacillati; Bacillota; Bacilli; Caryophanales; Listeriaceae
Description: partial 23S ribosomal RNA
Rfam family: Bacterial large subunit ribosomal RNA
Source: RNAcentral
UGAAACCGUGUGCCUACAAGUAGUUAGAGCCCGUUAAUGGGUGAUAGCGUGCCUUUUGUAGAAUGAACCGGCGAGUUACGAUUUGUUGCAAGGUUAAGCGGAAAAAGCGGAGCCGUAGCGAAAGCGAGUCUGAAUAGGGCGCAUAAGUAACAGGUCGUAGACCCGAAACCAGGUGAUCUACCCAUGUCCAGGAUGAAGGUAAGGUAAUACUUACUGGAGGUCCGAACCCACGCACGUUGAAAAGUGCGGGGAUGAGGUGUGGGUAGCGGAGAAAUUCCAAUCGAACUUGGAGAUAGCUGGUUCUCUCCGAAAUAGCUUUAGGGCUAGCCUCGAGGUAAAGAGUCAUGGAGGUAGAGCACUGUUUGGACUAGGGGCCCUUCUCGGGUUACCGAAUUCAGAUAAACUCCGAAUGCCAUGUACUUAUACUCGGGAGUCAGACUGCGAGUGAUAAGAUCCGUAGUCGAAAGGGAAACAGCCCAGACCACCAGUUAAGGUCCCCAAAUAUAUGUUAAGUGGAAAAGGAUGUGGGGUUGCUUAGACAACCAGGAUGUUGGCUUAGAAGCAGCCACCAUUGAAAGAGUGCGUAAUAGCUCACUGGUCGAGUGACCCCGCGCCGAAAAUGUACCGGGGCUAAACAUAUUACCGAAACUGUGGAUGAACCUCUUUAGAGGUUCGUGGUAGGAGAGCGUUCUAAGGGCGGUGAAGUCAGACCGGAAGGACUGGUGGAGCGCUUAGAAGUGAGAAUGCCGGUAUGAGUAGCGAAAGAAGGGUGAGAAUCCCUUCCACCGAAUAUCUAAGGUUUCCUGAGGAAGGCUCGUCCGCUCAGGGUUAGUCGGGACCUAAGCCGAGGCCGAUAGGCGUAGGCGAUGGACAACAGGUAGAGAUUCCUGUACCAGUGCUAAUUGUUUAACCGAUGGGGUGACACAGAAGGAUAGGGAAUCGCACGAAUGGAAAUGUGCGUCCAAGCAGUGAGUGUGAGAAGUAGGCAAAUCCGCUUCUCGCGAAGCAUGAGCUGUGAUGGGGAAGGAAAUUAAGUACGGAAGUUCCUGAUUUCACGCUGUCAAGAAAAGCCUCUAGGAAGAGUAGUACUGCCCGUACCGCAAACCGACACAGGUAGAUGAGGAGAGAAUCCUAAGGUGAGCGAGAGAACUCUCGUUAAGGAACUCGGCAAAAUGACCCCGUAACUUCGGGAGAAGGGGUGCUCUAUUAGGGUGCAAGCCCGAGAGAGCCGCAGUGAAUAGGCCCAGGCGACUGUUUAGCAAAAACACAGGUCUCUGCAAAACCGUAAGGUGACGUAUAGGGGCUGACGCCUGCCCGGUGCUGGAAGGUUAAGAGGAGUGCUUAGCUUCGGCGAAGGUACGAAUUGAAGCCCCAGUAAACGGCGGCCGUAACUAUAACGGUCCUAAGGUAGCGAAAUUCCUUGUCGGGUAAGUUCCGACCCGCACGAAAGGCGCAACGAUCUGGGCACUGUCUCAACGAGAGACUCGGUGAAAUUAUAGUACCUGUGAAGAUGCAGGUUACCCGCGACAGGACGGAAAGACCCCGUGGAGCUUUACUGCAACCUGAUAUGGAAUGUUUGUACCGCUUGUACAGGAUAGGUAGGAGCCGAAGAGACGUGUGCGCUAGCAUACGAGGAGGCAAUGGUGGGAUACUACCCUGGCUGUAUGACCAUUCUAACCCGCCACGCUUAGCGCGUGGGGAGACAGUGUCAGGUGGGCAGUUUGACUGGGGCGGUCGCCUCCUAAAGAGUAACGGAGGCGCCCAAAGGUUCCCUCAGAAUGGAUGGAAAUCAUUCGCAGAGUGUAAAGGCACAAGGGAGCUUGACUGCGAGACUGACAAGUCGAGCAGGGACGAAAGUCGGGCUUAGUGAUCCGGUGGUUCCGCAUGGAAGGGCCAUCGCUCAACGGAUAAAAGCUACCCCGGGGAUAACAGGCUUAUCUCCCCCAAGAGUCCACAUCGACGGGGAGGUUUGGCACCUCGAUGUCGGCUCGUCGCAUCCUGGGGCUGUAGUCGGUCCCAAGGGUUGGGCUGUUCGCCCAUUAAAGCGGCACGCGAGCUGGGUUCAGAACGUCGUGAGACAGUUCGGUCCCUAUCCGUCGCGGGCGCAGGAAAUUUGAGAGGAGCUGUCCUUAGUACGAGAGGACCGGGAUGGACACACCGCUGGUGUACCAGUUGUUCCGCCAGGAGCAUCGCUGGGUAGCUAUGUGUGGCAGGGAUAAACGCUGAAAGCAUCUAAGCGUGAAGCCCCCCUCAAGAUGAGAUUUCCCAUUUCUUCGGAAAGUAAGAUCCCUGAAAGAUGAUCAGGUAGAUAGGUUUGGAGUGGAAGUGUAGCGAUACAUGGAGCGGACAAAUACUAAUCGAUCGAGGACUUAACCAAAA